RNAcentral lists this long non-coding RNA (813 nucleotides) under Hordeum vulgare. Its description in RNAcentral is "long non-coding RNA (HVUL_LNC012712)". Lineage: Eukaryota; Viridiplantae; Streptophyta; Magnoliopsida; Poales; Poaceae. The record is from RNAcentral.
GCGAGGAAGGAGACCGUCUUGGCAACCUUCUCCAAGCACUCCUGACUCUGCACCAGCAACGAAUCGCCACUGCUCUCCACAAUUCAGUCAAACCUGUAAAUUCUACUCGGGAGCUAAGAAAAUGAAAGGGUUAUAGGCUAUUUCUAGACCAGAGCUAUUUGAUAAGAUGGCCCAAAGUGGUCAUGAACAAAAUUUACAAACUAAAUGAUAAUGAAACAAAGGCGUUUAGCCAGCUUUGCAAAUCUACAUGAAAAAGUUAUGUAAAUUUUAUUUUCUUGCGGCACACACAUUAGUAGGAAUAGAACUAGCAAAUUUACAACAAACAAUAUACGGUGGAUCCUACAGAUUAUUGAGAUCAGAAUGUUCCAACACAUCAAAGAUAGAUAUCCAGCAAAGCCAAGAUUUGAACUAUCCGGCAGACAAGAAAACGUAUAUACACAAAAAUAUCUUGCAUUGCAUGCACAUUUUAUAUUUAAUGGGUGGUAUAAAGCAUAAUGCAAAGCUCAACAAAACUCGGUUUGCUCAUAUGUACAACUUUCAAUACUAACACAUAUAUUGAGCAAGGUAAACCAGCAGCGAUGGCACUAUAUUUCUCAACUUCUUUAGUGCUCAGGAUUAGUAUAUCAUGCUUCCGGGAAAGCAAAGAGCGAGGAGCACGAAGAGCAGACAGAAUCUCCCAAUUUGUAAGCAGUUUACCUACAGUGCACAAGUGUAGAUCGAUCAGCAGUUGAAACUAGGAUUUACAAUUUCCUUUUUUUCAUAAACUGCAUGAACGGAAUCUAUGAAAGGGGGGAACAACACAAUCUAAGCUGA